Molecule: long non-coding RNA, 1016 nt
Filed under: Homo sapiens (human)
Lineage: Eukaryota; Metazoa; Chordata; Mammalia; Primates; Hominidae
Description: uncharacterized LOC105373757, transcript variant 4 (LOC105373757)
Source: RNAcentral
AAUGGCAGGAGACACCAUGAGAUGUUUUCUACUGUAGAAACUUUCUCAUUAGAAAUAGCCCAUUUAUACAGGGGACUGGCUAAUGUUUUUCUAUGAGUAUCAUUAGCCAGUGUCUCAAAGUGGUGAAGAGUAAGUAUAUAGCAUCUUUCAAAAGUCACUUAUUGGUAUCUCCUCCAGUCCCAGAAGGAGGAGUUGAGGCCGACAUUGGACAAACAAAGCCUUAAUUUAAAAGCAGGGACUGCAACCUGGAACAAGGAGAGACAAAGGGAAGGAGGAGUCUGGAGCCAUAUUGAAGAUGAAAUUGAGAUAUGGACUAGGUGGUGGAUCGUUUUUAUAAGAGGACAUAAAAGAGGAUGCUAAAGCUAAUUGCCACAAUCAGAACUCAAAGACCUAGCAAAUGCAAGACACUGGCCACCUCCCUGAACCUGGGCCAAGAUGAGGGUCUACACCUUGGCUUAGUUCUACUAUGAAAGACUUUCCUGCAGUAAAAGUUACCUGUCUGAAACAUUCAGAAGAGUGAAAAUGCCACAUCUCCAAUUUCCAGCAAUAUAUUUGUCUGCCAUGAUUUGGCCUGGAAGCUUAAGCAGGAAGACCACUUGGAGCCAGACUUCAGAGUGAUCUGUCUCUAAGGAAUAACUUUCAUAUUGCAGCGUUCGGUUUUGCAAUUCUUCCUAAGCUACUCUAAAUUCGCAGCAUAAAUCUGCAGAAAGACUUCACCCUCCACAUCAAACCCUUAUAAGGAUCCAUUUCUGCUCUCAUUUUAGAAUAUCUUUUCUAAUAGCUAAAGGCAGACAGAGGCAAACCAAGAAAUCCAGACUUUGCAUCAACGGGUUAAAUCAUAUGUCAAAGGUGCAACCAUAACGUAUUACAAGCUUCUCAUCACAUAAUACAUCACUCAAGAAAAAAUAUUUGGGCAGCUUUUCUAAUUCAUCUUCCUGGUGUUAAAGGAGCACAUCUCCAGUGUUCGUGUCUUCUGUUUCAAUUAAAGCAAUCAUGCCUACUCUUUUAGGAAACUA